UUGCUAAAGGGAUGGAAUAGUAAGUCCUGAAAUUUAAUUAUUCAGUCAUCCGUCACUUUGUCAGCAAUAUUUUCUUUUUAUUGCUGAUCAUCAAAGAUGACAAAUUU
Non-coding RNA from Beta vulgaris subsp. vulgaris (sugar beet), 107 nucleotides. The record is from Rfam. Lineage: Eukaryota; Viridiplantae; Streptophyta; Magnoliopsida; Caryophyllales; Amaranthaceae.